This 483-nucleotide ribosomal RNA is filed under the name uncultured bacterium. Its description in RNAcentral is "partial 16S ribosomal RNA". It matches the Rfam family "Bacterial small subunit ribosomal RNA", at positions 30 to 506 of the family's 1533-position model. The record is from RNAcentral.
AUUGAACGCUGGCGGCAGGCCUAACACAUGCAAGUCGAGCGGAUGAAGGGAGCUUGCUCCUGGAUUCGGCGGCGGACGGGUGAGUAAUGCCUAGGAAUCUGCCUGGUAGUGGGGGAUAACGUCCGGAAACGGGCGCUAAUACCGCAUACGUCCUGAGGGAGAAAGUGGGGGAUCUUCGGACCUCACGCUAUCAGAUGAGCCUAGGUCGGAUUAGCUAGUUGGUGGGGUAAAGGCCUACCAAGGCGACGAUCCGUAACUGGUCUGAGAGGAUGAUCAGUCACACUGGAACUGAGACACGGUCCAGACUCCGACGGGAGGCAGCAGUGGGGAAUAUUGGACAAUGGGCGAAAGCCUGAUCCAGCCAUGCCGCGUGUGUGAAGAAGGUCUGCGGAUUGUAAAGCACUUUAAGUUGGGAGGAAGGGCAGUAAGUUAAUACCUGGCUGUUUUGACGUUACCAACAGAAUAAGCACCGGCGAACUUCGU